UGGGGAAUAUUGGACAAUGGGCGAAAGCCUGAUCCAGCCAUGCCGCGUGUGUGAAGAAGGUCUUCGGAUUGUAAAGCACUUUAAGUUGGGAGGAAGGGCAGUUACCUAAUACGUGAUUGUUUUGACGUUACCGACAGAAUAAGCACCGGCUAACUCUGUGCCAGCAGCCGCGGUAAUACAGAGGGUGCAAGCGUUAAUCGGAAUUACUGGGCGUAAAGCGCGCGUAGGUGGUUAGUUAAGUUGGAUGUGAAAUCCCCGGGCUCAACCUGGGAACUGCAUUCA
Molecule: ribosomal RNA, 282 nt
Filed under: uncultured bacterium
Lineage: Bacteria
Description: partial 16S ribosomal RNA
Rfam family: Bacterial small subunit ribosomal RNA
Source: RNAcentral